Non-coding RNA from Oncorhynchus mykiss (rainbow trout), 1444 nucleotides. NCBI's taxonomy places the organism in Eukaryota, Metazoa, Chordata, Actinopteri, Salmoniformes, Salmonidae. The record is from RefSeq and is a predicted model, not a curated record.
ACCUACAUUUAAUAAUUUAUCUUUUUCGAAAAUAGUCCAUGAUUAAGCACGAUUUCACCUACAACUAAAUCAAAGAUUAUAUUUUCCUCUUACUAACUAUACUGUAUGUGCAUUAACCACAGCUUCUGGCAACUGACUUACACCGUCAUUAAAUCAAAAAAUUAUUUGGAUAAACUAGCUAUACGGUUGGCCAAUUAAUUGACCAAAACAAUAUUUGUUAACAAAACUUUAUUUACAUAACCCAUCAACUAACAUUCAGUCUGGCCAUGGGCAUUUAUACUGUAUUUAUUUAUUCCCUACAGUAUCUGUGAUUUGCAUGAUCAAACUUUUUGCUGGUUACUUUUCCCUGUUUUGGCCAAAAAAUUACAUUUUUCCUGCAGUGUGUUGAAAAAUCAAAAUAGUAAGGAAACCCUUUGCAAAGGCACUCUCGGACAGAUAUUGGCUUUGAAAAAGAGAAUAGAGUAUGUUGUUCUAAAGGGAGGUGGGGUAGUAGGCUAGGCUAUACACAGUGCUGAGCUGACCAGCUUUCUAACUGCCUACCACACUGGAACACACAAACUACCCAACUAAAACACUGCUAAAAUACUGAGAUUGGCAUGCAGAAUAUAUUUCUUUACUGCACUAUUAUAUGUAAACAUGGUAAUCCUGACAAACUGUCAUUGUUUGAAAAUGAUACAUAGCUCGUACCAGUUUGGAGAAGACCGAAGUCGAACAGAGGAAUUAUUACAAUUUCAAAAUAACUAAGUUGAAUGCCUACCCAAGGGCUAGGACUGCACCUAUCUGCUAGUCUGCAUCUGUAGCCUUGAAAAGUAGUGCCAGCGGAUUGUUCCUCUUUUAUUAAGUUGUUUUUGAAAGUCAGUUCAGCGGAAAUGUUUUAACCCAAUGUUCUAUUUAUAUACAAAACUGAAAUAUACGUAAUUGUCUUUUCAACUGCCAUAUUUGACUACAGGUUGCUAGCUUGCUCUGUUGUGUGGGCAGAAGCCCCUGUAAUGAGAUUAGUGCACUAAAAAAAAUGUAUGAUUGAGGAAAUCCCCAGGCUGAUAAUCACUGACCAUUUGUAAAUGUGUGCUUACUGAUCGUGGCUCACAGGAAAAUAACAGUAAGAGACAGUUUCCUGGACCCAGGUUAAGCCUACAGCACUGUAUUCCUUUUCAAGUAGGCUUAAUCUGGGUCCAGGAAACCAGCUCUUCAUGUUAUUUUCCUGCAGUCCCAAAUGUCACAAAAUAACGUCAAUCUUAUUUACUUAGAGGUUUUGUACUUAUAUUUGAUAGUGUGUAUUGUGUGAUUUAAGAGAUCAAAUAAUUGUCAUGAUAACUGCCUUUUCUCAUUCUUUGAGACACGUGUAAAUAUGUGUAACGAAUGUCGUCUAGAGAAAGAGAGGAGGACCGAACCGCAGCGUGGUAAAUGUUCAUAAUUUUAAUUAAAGAAAGCACUGAACACUGAA